Molecule: long non-coding RNA, 331 nt
Filed under: Manihot esculenta (cassava)
Lineage: Eukaryota; Viridiplantae; Streptophyta; Magnoliopsida; Malpighiales; Euphorbiaceae
Description: long non-coding RNA (MESC_LNC010215)
Source: RNAcentral
GGCACUAGCUUCCAUCUUCCUGGCUGCAUCCACUAUAGAGUGAAAACUCUCCUUUUCUGCUGGAAGGAUCAAGGAAGAAUACCUGGGAUGAAGUCUCAUGGUAUAUCUUCUUGCCUUCUUCUGAUCAGUAUCAUAGGCCUGACCCACGUACUGAAGCAAAUCUAGGAACUUAUCCGUAAACUCAUCAACACUCAUUUCAUCUGUUUGUCUUAGCUGUUCAAACUCUAUUAUCUUCAUCUCCCUGGAGCUAUCAGGAAAAGCCCACCCUGCAAACUCAUUGGCGAACUCUCCCCACGACAUACUGUUCAUUCUGGGCUCUAUAUAGUUCUUG